CUACGGGUUGCUCCAGUGAGGAAUUUUGCGCAAUGGGGGAAACCCUGACGCAGCAACGCCGCGUGAGUGAUGAAGGCCUUCGGGUCGUAAAACUCUGUCAAGUGGGAAGAACCUAUGUAAGGUUAAUACCCUUAUGUACUGACGGUACCACUGAAGGAAGCACCGGCUAACUCCGUGCCAGCAGCCGCGGUAAUACGGAGGGUGCAAGCGUUAUUCGGAAUUAUUGGGCGUAAAGGGCGCGCAGGCGGUUUUGUAAGUCAGAUGUGAAAGCCCGGGGCUUAACCUCGGAAGUGCAUUUGAUACUGCAAGACUUGAGUAUGGGAGGGGGAAGUGGAAUUCCUGGUGUAGAGGUGAAAUUCGUAGAUAUCAGGAGGAACACCAGUGGCGAAGGCGACUUCCUGGACCAAUACUGACGCUGAGGCGCGAAGGCGUGGGGAGCAAACAGGAUUAGAUACCCCAGUAGUC
Molecule: ribosomal RNA, 465 nt
Filed under: uncultured bacterium
Lineage: Bacteria
Description: partial 16S ribosomal RNA
Rfam family: Bacterial small subunit ribosomal RNA
Source: RNAcentral